UACGUAGGGGCCUAGCGUUGUCCGGAUUCAUUGGGCGUAAAGAGCUCGUAGGCGGUCUGUUGCGUCCGCUGUGAAAACUCGGGGCUUAACCCCGAGCCUGCAGUGGAUACGGGCAGACUAGAGGUAGGUAGGGGAGAAUGGAAUUCCCGGUGUAGCGGUGAAAUGCGCAGAUAUCGGGAGGAACACCGGUGGCGAAGGCGGUUCUCUGGGCCUUACCUGACGCUGAGGAGCGAAAGCGUGGGGAGCGAACAGG
RNAcentral lists this ribosomal RNA (253 nucleotides) under uncultured bacterium. RNAcentral's name for it is "partial 16S ribosomal RNA". It matches the Rfam family "Bacterial small subunit ribosomal RNA", at positions 524 to 776 of the family's 1533-position model. The record is from RNAcentral.